This 253-nucleotide ribosomal RNA is filed under the name uncultured bacterium. RNAcentral's name for it is "partial 16S ribosomal RNA". It matches the Rfam family "Bacterial small subunit ribosomal RNA", at positions 524 to 776 of the family's 1533-position model. The record is from RNAcentral.
UACGUAGGGGCCGAGCGUUGUCCGGAGUUAUUGGGCGGAAAGCGCGCGCAGGCGGCCUCGCGCGCCCGACGUGAAAGCCCCCGGCUUAACCGGGGAGGGUCGUUGGGGACGGCGGGGCUUGAGGGCGGGAGAGGGUGGUGGAAUUCCCGGUGUAGUGGUGAAAUGCGUAGAGAUCGGGAGGAACACCCGUGGCGAAGGCGGCCACCUGGGCCGACCCUGACGCUGAGGCGCGAAGGCGUGGGGAGCGAACGGG